Molecule: long non-coding RNA, 266 nt
Organism: Centropristis striata (black sea bass)
Lineage: Eukaryota; Metazoa; Chordata; Actinopteri; Perciformes; Serranidae
Exons: 3
Source: RefSeq, a predicted model, not a curated record
AGGACAUGCAAAAGGUGUGGAGCUCAAUCCAUCAGAGAGGAGGAGUUCACCAACCUUUCUCUGGACCUGGUCCCUGGUGCCUCAGUACAGGAAACACUGCUGGAGUUUAAAUGUGAAUGUGGCGGCAAGACAUCAGGCCAGCGCUCCACCUUCCUGACCCUGCCCAAGUGAGUCACAUCACAUCCAUCACAAACCUACGAUUACUAAAUCUGAAACACAUUAACCCUGUGAACAGACUUAGAUUGAUGGAGGUGUUUUUGCUGGCU